Molecule: long non-coding RNA, 803 nt
Organism: Maniola jurtina (meadow brown)
Lineage: Eukaryota; Metazoa; Arthropoda; Insecta; Lepidoptera; Nymphalidae
Exons: 3
Source: RefSeq, a predicted model, not a curated record
ACAGAUUUUUAUUUAUUUUUAUGCAUAAUAGUUAUUGAUUUAUCGUGCAAAAUGUCGGGAGAAAUAUCCAAGCACGACCAAAAACUUCCACAUCAUAGAAGAAGUAGUAGAUAAUAAUCAAAUUGCUAACGUUCAUAUUAUUAUACGUGACGGUAUGUGAUUGGAAGUGAGCACUCGUAACAUGAAGUAUUAAAUUUUUUACUUCCGCGGUUGGCGUGACAUAACGUAGAUAAAUCUAAUUAGCGUCUAAGAAGAAAGGAACAAAAUGAAUAAUAUUAAUAAUAUUACAUAAAUUAAUUACGGACAUGAUCAAAUUCGCAAGGAUGUCAUCCAAUUACACAGUUCCAAUUUCGUUCGAUUCUCAACUACGCUACGGUCCAAAAAAUUUGUGGAAUCUUGCAUACCUAGCGCAAAACUGAAAUUAGUAUUCUACGUUAUUCCGGUGCAAAUGAUUUCAGAUUCUUUUAUUUCGCCGUUCACACGUUUCACAGCAUUUCGCUCGGGCUUUUUUUUUGCACAGGAAAUAGUAUUGUUUUUGUUUAUCUUUUCAUAGAGCAACUGCAUGGCCGGCGAUGUAUAAUUCCUGUGAUACUGGUUAAAUGCAUUUAAAAUAUACGACAUGCCAUACUUUGUGCUUUUACUCACUGAGUUUGUGGGACUACAUUUUAUUUCAAGCUUAAGCAGACAAACAGAGCAAAUGAACGACUUUUUUAAUAUAUCACAUUUAACCCUGUUUAAGUCGAUAUCUGUUUUUUUUUUAAUGCAAGAUAUUCUUGCGCUUGACGAAAAUUAUGCCUGGUGGA